GCCUUUUUAGUUUCAUAAAAAAAAAACAUUAGUCUUGUAAGCUAAAGAAAUAUUCAUUACU
Molecule: transfer RNA, 61 nt
Filed under: Aeolothrips xinjiangensis
Lineage: Eukaryota; Metazoa; Arthropoda; Insecta; Thysanoptera; Aeolothripidae
Description: tRNA-Thr
Source: RNAcentral